AACUUUUCGCAACGGAUCACUUGGCUCUCGCAUCGAUGAAGAACGCAGCGAAAUGCGAUAAGUAAUGUGAAUUGCAGAAUUCAGUGAAUCAUCGAAUCUUUGAACGCACCUUGCACCCUUUGGCAUUCCGAAGGGUAUGCUCGUUUGAGUGUCAUUGUACUCUCACACUCCCGAUGCUUUUGGAUUGGGAGUGGUGGACUUGGGUGUUGCUGCUUUACUGUGGCUCACCUCAAAUGGAGUAGUGCAACUCUUGGUUGGACAUAGUACGGCGUGAUAAGUGUCUUCGCCGGCGCCUCAUUAGAGGGUGGCCGAUCGGGAGCUCUGUGCUUCAAACCGUCUUCGGACAACAUCUGACAACUUGACCUCAAAUCGAGUAGGACUACCCGCUGAACUUAAGCAUAUCAAUAAGCGGAGGCU
This 417-nucleotide unclassified non-coding RNA is filed under the name uncultured Sebacina. Its description in RNAcentral is "sequence contains ITS2". The stretch from base 1 to 154 matches the Rfam family "5.8S ribosomal RNA". The record is from RNAcentral. Lineage: Eukaryota; Fungi; Basidiomycota; Agaricomycetes; Sebacinales; Sebacinaceae.